Molecule: ribosomal RNA, 800 nt
Filed under: Awacaris yezoensis
Lineage: Eukaryota; Metazoa; Arthropoda; Malacostraca; Amphipoda; Pontogeneiidae
Description: partial 28S rRNA
Rfam family: Eukaryotic large subunit ribosomal RNA
Source: RNAcentral
GCUAAAUAUAUCCACAGAACCGAUAGUANAACAAGUACCGCGAGGGAAAGUUGAAAAGCACUCUGAAGAGAGAGUUAAAAGACCGUGAAACCGCUCAGAGUAUAAGCCGAUGGUUAUUCGGAAGGCAGGGUCCUGACCCCACCCUGGCUGAGCUGAUGCUGUUCUAAGGGAAAGGAUCUAUCGUUGUGUGUCCAGAAAGAAGGCGCUGUCGUGGUAAAACUUUUGAACGUGGCAUUGAGUUGAUAGCACACCCGUGAUGAGAAAACUUGCGGGCCCAUAUGAUUGUAAAAAGAUGGAGGCCUCCGUUUUGGUGGGGGCCGAUAUCAGUCGGGCUUGUGCAAGCCGGCGUUUACCGCACACAAACGAGUGGACUACAUACUGCCCACCACAACUCUUUAUGAGGUCAGGCACGCAAGACGUGGCUCGGUUGGUGCUCUGCGCGUUCACCCAGCACAGGGAUCUAGUGUACGUCCUAAAAACACACCCCGGUUGCGAGCGCCUAUAUCGCCCGGGUGACCCUGUGCCGGCAGGCACUUCCAUGUCUAUCCAGAAAGCGUGUUGUUCUUUGAUCCUCUGUGAAGGUUGCUAUUCUGACGCCCCUAAAACCUGUAAGCAUAGUCGAGAUGGCUGUGUGGAAGAGAACUUAGUACCGGCACCACCCCCGAUGAUUUCACCAGCGGAACUGACAUGAUUGUCGAGGCCGGCUGCGAGGAGGGGGCGCAAGGGAAAAAAUCGCUCUGUUGGUGGCGGGGUGAUUGGUGUUCUAUUCCGGAGCCAUCGGUCACGUCUCGAAACACGGG